This 1391-nucleotide ribosomal RNA is filed under the name uncultured bacterium. RNAcentral describes it as "bacterial SSU rRNA". It matches the Rfam family "Bacterial small subunit ribosomal RNA". The record is from RNAcentral.
AGAGUUUGAUCCUGGCUCAGGAUGUACGCUGGCGGCGUGCCUAACACAUGCAAGUCGAGCGAAGCAUAUAACAUGAAGUUUUCGGACGGAAUGUUAUCUGACUGAGCGGCGGACGGGUGAGUAACGCGUGGGUAACCUGCCUUAUACAGGGGGAUAACAGUUAGAAAUGACUGCUAAUACCGCAUAAGCGCACAGUACUGCAUGGUACAGUGUGAAAAACUCCGGUGGUAUAAGAUGGACCCGCGUCUGAUUAGCCAGUUGGCGGGGUAACGGCCCACCAAAGCGACGAUCAGUAGCCGACCUGAGAGGGUGACCGGCCACAUUGGGACUGAGACACGGCCCAAACUCCUACGGGAGGCAGCAGUGGGGAAUAUUGCACAAUGGGGGAAACCCUGAUGCAGCAACGCCGCGUGAGUGAAGAAGUAUUUCGGUAUGUAAAGCUCUAUCAGCAGGGAAGAAGAUGACGGUACCUGACCAAGAAGCCCCGGCUAACUACGUGCCAGCAGCCGCGGUAAUACGUAGGGGGCAAGCGUUAUCCGGAAUCACUGGGUGUAAAGGGAGCGUAGACGGCUGUGCAAGCCUGAAGUGAAAGGCGGGGGCCCAACCUCUGGACUGCUUUGGGAACUGUACGGCUGGAGUGCAGGAGAGGUAAGUGGAAUUCCUAGUGUAGCGGUGAAAUGCGUAGAUAUUAGGAGGAACACCAGUGGCGAAGGCGGCUUACUGGACUGUAACUGACGUUGAGGCUCGAAAGCGUGGGGAGCAAACAGGAUUAGAUACCCUGGUAGUCCUCGCCGUAAACGAUGAUUACUAGGUGUCGGGGGGCAGAGGCCCUUCGGUGCCGCAGCAAACGCAAUAAGUAAUCCACCUGGGGAGUACGUCCGCAAGGAUGAAACUCAAAGGAAUUGACGGGGACCCGCACAAGCGGUGGAGCAUGUGGUUUAAUUCGAAGCAACGCGAAGAACCUUACCCGGCCUUGACAUCCCCCUGACAGUGUAUGUAAUGUACAUUCCCUUCGGGGCAGGGGAGACAGGUGGUGCAUGGUUGUCGUCAGCUCGUGUCGUGAGAUGUUGGGUUAAGUCCCGCAACGAGCGCAACCCUUACCCACAGUAGCCAGCACAAAAGGUGGGCACUCUGUGGGGACUGCCGGGGACAACCCGGAGGAAGGUGGGGAUGACGUCAAAUCAUCAUGCCCCUUAUGGCCGGGGCUACACACGUGCUACAAUGGCGUAAACAAAGGGAAGCGAGAGAGUGAUCUUAAGCGAAACUCAAAAAUAACGUCCCAGUUCGGAUUGCAGUCUGCAACUCGACUGCAUGAAGCUGGAAUCGCUAGUAAUCGCGGAUCAGAAUGCCGCGGUGAAUACGUUCCCGGGUCUUGUACACACCGCCCGUCA